CCUCGAUGCCAACAGACGACUAUUCGGAGGAGUCUGACACGGAUCUCAGCCAAAAGUCCGACGGACCGGCGAGCCCGGUGGAGGGUCCCAAAGACCCCAGCUGCCCCAAGGACAGUGGUCUGACCAGUGUAGGAACGGACACCUUCAGAUUGUACUAUUGGUCUUGGAAACUGAAGUCCGCAGGGCCUGCCUAUUGUUGGAGCUUAAACCCCUUGUAUAUUUGCCCCUUUUGAGAACUGCCCCACCUUGAUAGCACAGAGG
RNAcentral lists this long non-coding RNA (261 nucleotides) under Rattus norvegicus (Norway rat). RNAcentral's name for it is "long non-coding RNA NONRATT014703". Lineage: Eukaryota; Metazoa; Chordata; Mammalia; Rodentia; Muridae. The record is from RNAcentral.